Non-coding RNA from Lutra lutra (Eurasian river otter), 835 nucleotides. NCBI's taxonomy places the organism in Eukaryota, Metazoa, Chordata, Mammalia, Carnivora, Mustelidae. The record is from the annotation of a RefSeq genome assembly.
UGGUCCCCAAAUCCCUUGGGACAUGCUUGAGCUAUACUUGGAAAUUUCUGGUGACCCAAAGUCCCACAGGGUGUUCUGAGAGUAGGUGUCCGCUUUGGGCACAACCUCAAGCUCUUCUGAGCUGAUUUGCAUGUUGUGUCAUUAGACAAAACCCCAGGCUGCUCUCGACAUCCUUAAAGGCAGCUGGUCAGGGCCCCCGAGGAGCAGCCUCUAGUCCAGCUUUCUGAGAUGGGGUCCGGGACUCCCCUCCUGUGGAUUCUGCUGCUCUGGGCUCCAGGCUGCACUGGGGACAUUGUGCUGACCCAGUCUCCAGCCUCUUUGACCGUGUCUCCAGGGCAGAGGGCCACCAUCUCUUGCAAGACCAGUCAGAAAGUCGGUGACAUUUUGGGCAUUACCCACUAUAUUACAUGGUAUCAACAAAAAUCAGGACAGCGUCCGAGAAUGCUGAUUUAUAAAGCAUCCAGUCAAGCGUCUGGGGUCCCGGCCCGGUUCAGUGGUGGUGGGUCUGGGACUGAAUUCAGUCUCACGAUUGAUCCCGUGGAGGAUGGCGAUGCUGCCAACUAUUACUGCCAGCAGAGUAAGGAGAUGCCUCCCACGGUGCUCUGGGUCUAAACAAAAACCUCCCCAGGCGGCUGCUCAGUCAUUUCAAUGAAAAAAAAACCAGCCUUCAACUGCCAGAACUGUCAGCUCUCUAUCUUUCAGAUACAGCCUGAUCUUCUCACACUAAUUUGGAUUUUUAACUUCUCCUAUUUGCUUGAGCUCACCCAAAGAUCUCUGUAGUUGUUCAGCAACUUAAGAAUUGUGAUGUAGUUACUUUUCAUUUUUUGAUGAAGAU